UACGUAGGGACCGAGCGUUGUCCGGAAUCAUUGGGCGUAAAGAGCGUGUAGGCGGUCCGUUAAGUCGGCUGUGAAAGUCCAAGGCUCAACCUUGGGAUGCCGGUCGAUACUGCCGGACUAGAGUUCGGAAGAGGCGAGUGGAAUUCCCGGUGUAGCGGUGAAAUGCGCAGAUAUCGGGAGGAACACCUAUGGCGAAGGCAGCUCGCUGGGACGUUACUGACGCUGAGACGCGAAAGCGUGGGGAGCAAACAGG
RNAcentral lists this ribosomal RNA (253 nucleotides) under uncultured bacterium. RNAcentral's name for it is "partial 16S ribosomal RNA". It matches the Rfam family "Bacterial small subunit ribosomal RNA", at positions 524 to 776 of the family's 1533-position model. The record is from RNAcentral.